This 484-nucleotide ribosomal RNA is filed under the name uncultured Glomus. RNAcentral's name for it is "SSU rRNA". It matches the Rfam family "Eukaryotic small subunit ribosomal RNA", at positions 569 to 1058 of the family's 1831-position model. Lineage: Eukaryota; Fungi; Glomeromycota; Glomeromycetes; Glomerales; Glomeraceae. The record is from RNAcentral.
AGCAGCCGCGGUAAUUCCAGCUCCAAUAGCGUAUAUUAAAGUUGUUGCAGUUAAAAAGCUCGUAGUUGAAUUUCGGGAUCAAGGAAUCGGUCAUGCCUUGGUAUGUACUGGUUUUAUUGGUUCUCACCUUCUAAAGAACCAUAAUGUCAUUUAUUUGAUGUUAUGGGGAAUUAGGACUGUUACCUUGAAAAAAUUAGAGUGUUUAAAGCAAGCUUACGCUUGAAUACAUUAGCAUGGAAUAAUGAAAUAGGACAUCAGAUUCUAUUUUGUUGGUUUCUAGGAUCGAUGUAAUGAUUAAUAGGGAUAGUUGGGGGCAUUAGUAUUCAAUUGUCAGAGGUGAAAUUCUUGGAUUUAUUGAAGACUAACUACUGCGAAAGCAUUUGCCAAGGAUGUUUUCAUUAAUCAAGAACGAAAGUUAGGGGAUCGAAGACGAUCAGAUACCGUCGUAGUCUUAACCAUAAACUAUGCCGACUAGGGAUCGGAU